GAUGAAGAACGUAGCGAAAUGCGAUAAGUAAUGUGAAUUGCAGAAUUCAGUUAAUCAUCGAAUCUUUGAACGCACCUUGCGCCCUUUGGCUAUUCCGAAGGGCAUGCCUGUUUGAGUAUCAUGAACACCUCAACUCUUUAUGGUUUUCCAUGAAGGGCUUGGACUUUGGGGGUCUUGCUGGCCUUUAGUCAGCUCCUCUCAAACGAAUCAGCUUUCCAGUGUUUGGCAGCGUCACAGGUGUGAUAACUAUCUACGCUUGUGGUUUUCUGCCAGGUAAUCCUCAGUGAUGGGGAUUCGCUGGGGCUUAUAAAUGUCUCUCCUCAGCGAAGACAGCUUUGUGAACGUUUGAUCUCAAAUCAGGUAGGACUACCCGCUGAACUUAAGCAUAUCAAUAAGCGGAGGA
This 403-nucleotide unclassified non-coding RNA is filed under the name soil metagenome. RNAcentral's name for it is "partial contains 5.8S ribosomal RNA, internal transcribed spacer 2, and large subunit ribosomal RNA". The stretch from base 1 to 121 matches the Rfam family "5.8S ribosomal RNA", at positions 35 to 154 of the family's 154-position model. The record is from RNAcentral.